AUACGGAGGGUGCGAGCGUUAAUCGGAAUUACUGGGCGUAAAGCGUACGUAGGCGGUUGGUUAAGUUAGAUGUGAAAGCCCCGGGCUUAACCUGGGAACUGCAUUUAAAACUGGCGAACUAGAGUUGAGUAGAGGGGAGUGGAAUCUCAGGUGUAGCGGUGAAAUGCGUAGAGAUCUGAAGGAACACCAGUGGCGAAGGCGACUCCCUGGACUCGAACUGACGCUGAGGUACGAAAGCGUGGGUAGCAAACGGGAUUAGAAACCCCAGUAGUCC
Molecule: ribosomal RNA, 274 nt
Filed under: uncultured bacterium
Lineage: Bacteria
Description: partial 16S ribosomal RNA
Rfam family: Bacterial small subunit ribosomal RNA
Source: RNAcentral